Molecule: ribosomal RNA, 599 nt
Filed under: Salmonella enterica subsp. enterica serovar Hadar
Lineage: Bacteria; Pseudomonadati; Pseudomonadota; Gammaproteobacteria; Enterobacterales; Enterobacteriaceae
Description: bacterial SSU rRNA
Rfam family: Bacterial small subunit ribosomal RNA
Source: RNAcentral
AAAUUGAAGAGUUUGAUCAUGGCUCAGAUUGAACGCUGGCGGCAGGCCUAACACAUGCAAGUCGAACGGUAACAGGAAGCAGCUUGCUGCUUUGCUGACGAGUGGCGGACGGGUGAGUAAUGUCUGGGAAACUGCCUGAUGGAGGGGGAUAACUACUGGAAACGGUGGCUAAUACCGCAUAACGUCGCAAGACCAAAGAGGGGGACCUUCGGGCCUCUUGCCAUCAGAUGUGCCCAGAUGGGAUUAGCUAGUUGGUGAGGUAACGGCUCACCAAGGCGACGAUCCCUAGCUGGUCUGAGAGGAUGACCAGCCACACUGGAACUGAGACACGGUCCAGACUCCUACGGGAGGCAGCAGUGGGGAAUAUUGCACAAUGGGCGCAAGCCUGAUGCAGCCAUGCCGCGUGUAUGAAGAAGGCCUUCGGGUUGUAAAGUACUUUCAGCGGGGAGGAAGGUGUUGUGGUUAAUAACCACAGCAAUUGACGUUACCCGCAGAAGAAGCACCGGCUAACUCCGUGCCAGCAGCCGCGGUAAUACGGAGGGUGCAAGCGUUAAUCGGAAUUACUGGGCGUAAAGCGCACGCAGGCGGUCUGUCAAGUC